This 86-nucleotide transfer RNA is filed under the name Acidobacteriota bacterium. RNAcentral's name for it is "Acidobacteria bacterium tRNA-Lys". Lineage: Bacteria; Pseudomonadati; Acidobacteriota. The record is from RNAcentral.
GGGCGCGUGAACCUCGUCUACUUCGCGCAGAAGCCGUCUGACUCUUAAUCAGCGGGUCCAAGGUUCGAGUCCUUGACGGCCCACCA